GAAUCGAUUGAAGAAGGAGAGAGGGAAGGAAAGGGUCCUCCGCGUCUCGGCCAACAAUAUCCAUAAAUUUCCAACCCGUCCCCCUCCGGUAGAACAAACGGCCGGCCGACGAUCCGAAAUCGAGAAGAAACAGAUCCCAGGAAGGG
Molecule: long non-coding RNA, 146 nt
Organism: Apis dorsata (giant honeybee)
Lineage: Eukaryota; Metazoa; Arthropoda; Insecta; Hymenoptera; Apidae
Exons: 3
Source: RefSeq, a predicted model, not a curated record